AACUGCACUAAAACACAACACAAAGAAAACAUAUUUUAAUCAGUUGAACCAGAAGAUAAUCGAUGAAAGACUAAACAAAGUUUAAACGGUAAGCAUAAAAAAAACCACGCACCUGGGAUGCCGCAAGAGAGAAAAAGAAGAAGAGGUGGAGAGAAAAAGAAGAGGUGCCGCAAGCGAGAAAAGGAAGACGCCGCAAGAGUAAAUGGAGAAGACACUGACGUCUAUAUUGACAUAAACGUCGGUUAUUUCACUAAUAUGACGUCCAAGUUAACAUUUCAUCUGACCUUUUGAAUACCAUUAGACGUCGGUGUCUAAGGGAGUCGACGUCUAGAAAGCUAAAACGAUUGACGUUUGAUUUCUUGUCAGGGAUGUUGACGAAAGUUGUCAUGGGGCGCCGACGUCUAUAAUGAUGAACAUAAUUACUUGCAGACACAUAGACGUGGGUGCCCCUGCUACCCGACGUCUAUGUCCCUCGAGUUUGGUGAACCUAAUUAAUUACAGGCACACAGACGUUGAUUCCACUGAACACCGACGUCGAAGUUGAAGAUUUUUUGUCUUCCCGCCUUCCAUUCAGGCCGUAGACAUCGCCUUCUGACUACGCGACGUCUAAGCGUCUGGGAAUUAGGUAGAGAGAAUUAAUUGCAGCCCCAUAGACGUCGGCCCCCCG
This 667-nucleotide long non-coding RNA is filed under the name Vigna radiata. RNAcentral describes it as "long non-coding RNA (VRAD_LNC008156)". Lineage: Eukaryota; Viridiplantae; Streptophyta; Magnoliopsida; Fabales; Fabaceae. The record is from RNAcentral.